Molecule: ribosomal RNA, 520 nt
Filed under: uncultured Glomus
Lineage: Eukaryota; Fungi; Glomeromycota; Glomeromycetes; Glomerales; Glomeraceae
Description: SSU rRNA
Rfam family: Eukaryotic small subunit ribosomal RNA
Source: RNAcentral
AGCAGCCGCGGUAAUUCCAGCUCCAAUAGCGUAUAUUAAAGUUGUUGCAGUUAAAAAGCUCGUAGUUGAAUUUCGGGAUUAGUACGCUGGUCGUGCCUUCGGUACGUACUGGUGUUACUGAUUCCUACCUUCUGACGAACCAUCAUGUCAUUAAUUUGGUGUGGUGGGAAAUCAGGACUGUUACUUUGAAAAAAUUAGAGUGUUUAAAGCAGGCUCGCGCUUGAAUACAUUAGCAUGGAAUAAUGAAAUAGGACGUUGACCCUAUUUUGUUGGUUUCUAGGAUUGACGUAAUGAUUAAUAGGGAUAGUUGGGGGCAUUAGUAUUCAAUUGUCAGAGGUGAAAUUCUUGGAUUUAUUGAAGACUAACUACUGCGAAAGCAUUUGCCAAGGAUGUUUUCAUUAAUCAAGAACGAAAGUUAGGGGAUCGAAGACGAUCAGAUACCGUCGUAGUCUUAACCAUAAACUAUGCCGACUAGGGAUCGGAUGAUGUUAUUUUUAAUGACUCAUUCGGCGCCUUACGG